This 132-nucleotide ribosomal RNA is filed under the name Piliocolobus tephrosceles (Ugandan red Colobus). The record is from RNAcentral. Lineage: Eukaryota; Metazoa; Chordata; Mammalia; Primates; Cercopithecidae.
GGCCAUACAAUCCUGAACACACCCAAUCUCGUCUAAUCUCUGAAGCUAAGCAGGGUCAGGCCUGGUUAGUACUUAGAUGGGAGGAUUUGUCCAGUCCUAUAAGGACUGUGUCACAAGAAAACCUUGGUCAUC